This 497-nucleotide ribosomal RNA is filed under the name uncultured bacterium. RNAcentral describes it as "partial 16S ribosomal RNA". It matches the Rfam family "Bacterial small subunit ribosomal RNA", at positions 28 to 507 of the family's 1533-position model. The record is from RNAcentral.
GCCGAACGCUGGCGGCGUGCCUAAUACAUGCAAGUUGAGCGAUGAAGAUUGGUGCUUGCACCAAUUUGAAGAGCAGCGAACGGGUGAGUAACGCGUGGGGAAUCUGCCUUUGAGCGGGGGACAACAUUUGGAAACGAAUGCUAAUACCGCAUAAUAACUUUAAACAUAAGUUUUAAGUUUGAAAGAUGCAAUUGCAUCACUCAAAGAUGAUCCCGCGUUGUAUUAGCUAGUUGGUGAGGUAAAGGCUCACCAAGGCGAUGAUACAUAGCCGACCUGAGAGGGUGAUCGGCCACAUUGGGACUGAGACACGGCCCAAACUCCUACGGGAGGCAGCAGUAGGGAAUCUUCGGCAAUGGACGAAAGUCUGACCGAGCAACGCCGCGUGAGUGAAGAAGGUUUUCGGAUCGUAAAACUCUGUUGGUAGAGAAGAACGUUGGUGAGAGUGGAAAGCUCAUCAAGUGACGGUAACUACCCAGAAAGGGACGGCUAACUACGUG